RNAcentral lists this ribosomal RNA (135 nucleotides) under uncultured bacterium. Its description in RNAcentral is "partial 16S ribosomal RNA". It matches the Rfam family "Bacterial small subunit ribosomal RNA", at positions 354 to 506 of the family's 1533-position model. The record is from RNAcentral.
GUGGGGAAUUUUGCGCAAUGGGGGAAACCCUGACGCAGCAACGCCGCGUGGAGGAUGAAGUCCUUCGGGACGUAAACUCCUUUCGAUCGGGACGAUUAUGACGGUACCGGAAGAAGAAGCCCCGGCUAACUUCGU